GCCAAAUUUGUUUUGAAGAGGAAGAACCAUAAGAGAGAGAAGUGGAGGGACUUGUACUUCUCCAUCAAGUUAGCACCUGGACAGCAGACCGAGCUGACACAUUAUUCUCAGUUGUCAUGAUUUUGGUAUGAAGAAGGCAAAAAUUCUCUUGCCAUUCCUUUCCAGGAGCUAUCCAUGUUUCCAGGUCUGCAAACACUGAGAUAGUGGGCAAAUGGUUUUUUCUUAAAGGACCGCAGAGGCAGCUGACUCCUACCAUCUGAGUAGAAAGAACCGCGGCAUAGAAGCUGAAAAGAAAAGCCCUUGUGCCAAUGUUACACCCAGAGCCCGUGGGGAUUAUUUUCCUUUUCUCUGUCAUGCAUGAAAAUCAUCCAGGUUAUCACGGCCGGCUUCACCAGUCCAUUAAGCAGCACAAUGGAGGGCUGGGGACAGCUGCCCGUAGCCGAGGGGCUGAGGGGAGAACCUCUCCAUAAAGACAGUCCUCUCCUUCGGAAGCAGAAGUGGCAGAUGUGAGGAAGAGGGCCCAGGGCAGGCACCUCUGUUGGCUCACAGGGAUUGUGGCCCCAAAUGUCAGGGACACCUUGGAAUGGAGAGGAAAUAUGGGCCUGUUUUGCCUUUAAAGCUCAUCCUGCUUCAUUUGCACUUCCUAGGACAAUACGCAGACCAAAGCUCCCUUUGACAGCCACAACACCUUUGAAUUUUGGGGCGCCCUUCUCUGACCAAGUAAUAUGUACAAAAAUGCACAGACAAGGGGAAAACGUGUUUCAAAUUUCAUAUAUUGGUGGUGAUAGAAAUGCAUUGCAUACAGGGAAGUCACUUGCAAAAAUAAAAAUAA
Molecule: long non-coding RNA, 832 nt
Organism: Podarcis raffonei (Aeolian wall lizard)
Lineage: Eukaryota; Metazoa; Chordata; Lepidosauria; Squamata; Lacertidae
Exons: 3
Source: RefSeq, a predicted model, not a curated record